Molecule: unclassified non-coding RNA, 337 nt
Filed under: soil metagenome
Description: partial contains 5.8S ribosomal RNA, internal transcribed spacer 2, and large subunit ribosomal RNA
Rfam family: 5.8S ribosomal RNA (bases 1-120)
Source: RNAcentral
GAUGAAGAGCGCAGCGAAAUGCGAUAAGUAGUGUGAAUUGCAGAAUUCAGUGAAUCAUCGAAUCUUUGAACGCACAUUGCGCCCCUUGGUAUUCCAUGGGGCAUGCCUGUUCGAGCGUCAUUUGUACCUUCAAGCUUUGCUUGGUGUUGGGUGUUUGUCUCGCCUCUGCGUGUAGACUCGCCUUAAAACAAUUGGCAGCCGGCGUAUUGAUUUCGGAGCGCAGUACAUCUCGCGCUUUGCACUCAUAACGACGACGUCCAAAAGUACAUUUUUACACUCUUGACCUCGGAUCAGGGAGGGAUACCCGCUGAACUUAAGCAUAUCAAUAAGCGGAGGA